AGAGCUGGUGGAGCUACAGG
This 20-nucleotide unclassified non-coding RNA is filed under the name Mus musculus (house mouse). Its description in RNAcentral is "oocyte_clustered_small_RNA8038". Lineage: Eukaryota; Metazoa; Chordata; Mammalia; Rodentia; Muridae. The record is from RNAcentral.